Molecule: non-coding RNA, 506 nt
Organism: Cinara cedri
Lineage: Eukaryota; Metazoa; Arthropoda; Insecta; Hemiptera; Aphididae
Source: the annotation of a GenBank genome assembly
CAAUUGUCUAAAUUAUUUUUCUUUAGGUAAGCUGUUGAUAAUAUUGUCUUCGGCGUUUAGGUAUUAAAACGAAUUUCUAAAUCUUUUUAAAAAACUUUUAAAUACAGAACGUAACUCAACAUGUAUUGAUUUUACUAUAAUAUGUAAGCUGUGUUUUUUUUGGCUGUUUGUGAACAACUUUUCUACCGUAAAUUCUCUUCGAUCAAAAACUGUAGGGCCUUAUUGGUGUUUUCUGAUGGUAAAUUCAUUCCAGCUUGGUGAAUCGAGAAGAUAAUUUUGUUUUAAUUAUUCUUGUAGUUUUCAGUUACAAGGAGAAACCGGAGGAAAACGUAGGAAAACCGAAAGCAUUUACGCAAUAGCGAUUUCUUACCGUUUCGGUUUAACCUUCAGUAUAAUUAAGCCACGGGACUUCAUUAAUAAUAUAGGCCACCUGGUAUAAUUAUUAUUAUCACAGCCAUCUAAACCUAGGUAGUAAUUUCGAUUUAUUACAGACUGCCUGCAGCUUU